This 462-nucleotide ribosomal RNA is filed under the name uncultured bacterium. RNAcentral describes it as "partial 16S ribosomal RNA". It matches the Rfam family "Bacterial small subunit ribosomal RNA", at positions 28 to 507 of the family's 1533-position model. The record is from RNAcentral.
GAUGAACGCUGACAGAAUGCUUAACACAUGCAAGUCUUUGGCGAAGCUGUGCUUGCACCGCCUAGCCAAGGCGGACGGGUGAGUAACGCGUAAGGAACUUGCCCUGCAGUCAGGGAUAACAGACGGAAACGACUGAUAAGACCUGGUAAAGUCAGGCGGACUCAUGUCCAGCCUGAUGAAAAGAGAUGCUGCAGGAGAGCCUUGCGUCCUAUUAGCUUGUUGGUGGGGUAACGGCCCACCAAGGCGAUGAUAGGUAGCCGGUCUGAGAGGGUGGACGGCCACAAGGGGACUGGGAUACGGCCCGUACUCCUACGGGAGGCAGCAGUGGGGAAUAUUGGACAAUGGGGGCAACCCUGAUACAGCAAUUCUGUGUGCACGAUGAAGGUUUUCGGAUUGUAAAGUGCUUUCAGCAGGGAAGAAAAAAUGACGGUACCUGCAGAAGAAGCGACGGCUAAAUACGUG